RNAcentral lists this ribosomal RNA (481 nucleotides) under uncultured bacterium. RNAcentral's name for it is "partial 16S ribosomal RNA". It matches the Rfam family "Bacterial small subunit ribosomal RNA", at positions 28 to 507 of the family's 1533-position model. The record is from RNAcentral.
GAUGAACGCUGGCGGCGUGCUUAACACAUGCAAGUCGAACGAAGCACUUUAUUUGAUUUCCUUCGGGACUGAUUAUUUUGUGACUGAGUGGCGGACGGGUGAGUAACGCGUGGGUAACCUGCCUUGUACAGGGGGAUAACAGUUGGAAACGGCUGCUAAUACCGCAUAAGCGCACAGCAUCGCAUGAUGCAGUGUGAAAAACUCCGGUGGUAUAAGAUGGACCCGCGUUGGAUUAGCUAGUUGGUGAGGUAACGGCCCACCAAGGCGACGAUCCAUAGCCGACCUGAGAGGGUGACCGGUCACAUUGGGACUGAGACACGGCCCAAACUCCUACGGGAGGCAGCAGUGGGGAAUAUUGCACAAUGGGCGAAAGCCUGAUGCAGCGACGCCGCGUGAGCGAAGAAGUAUUUCGGUAUGUAAAGCUCUAUCAGCAGGGAAGAUAAUGACGGUACCUGACUAAGAAGCACCGGCUAAAUACGUG